GGAUGUGGCUCAAGUGGUAGCAUACUCGCCUAGCAUGUGUGAGGCACUGGGUUCGAUUCUCAGCACCA
RNAcentral lists this transfer RNA (68 nucleotides) under Marmota monax (woodchuck). Its description in RNAcentral is "tRNA.Ala". The record is from RNAcentral. Lineage: Eukaryota; Metazoa; Chordata; Mammalia; Rodentia; Sciuridae.